Long non-coding RNA from Pieris napi, 3764 nucleotides. RefSeq lists it as uncharacterized. The transcript is spliced from 2 exons. The record is from RefSeq and is a predicted model, not a curated record. NCBI's taxonomy places the organism in Eukaryota, Metazoa, Arthropoda, Insecta, Lepidoptera, Pieridae.
GGUUACCAACUUGAAUAAACUAUAAAGAUAUUUUGAGUAAUGAGUUUGACAAACAUGGCGGUGAUUUAUCUUCUGUUCUUCAGAUAUUGAAAGCUUUGAGUUAUUGGGGGUCGCAACCAAGAAUGUAUGCAAGAUGAUGCUGCAGACAUUCAUAGUCUAACUCAGCAAUCUGGCUCUACAGUAUGCCAUCAAGUAGCAAGGGCAGUAUUAGAAAAAAGAUUUGAUUAUUUUAAAAUGCCCAUGUCUGUGACCAGCUGACAGUUAAUUUGAAACUCUAGCUGAAUUUUAAAAUGUGGUAGGUGUCAAUCAACUGUACUCAUAAUAAGGCGUGUUGCAUGCUACAAAUAGAAAGCAUUGGCAUCAUAUGUGGAAUACGCUGAAGCAACAUAGUGCCUGGAUAAUUUCCAAAGCAUUGUGGUGUUUAUGGAGUGUUACUGGUCUCCCUACUUGUUCAAUCGAAGGGAUACAUCUUAGAAUAUGGCUGAUCAACUAACUUUAGCAGCUUAUUUAGUACUACAAAGCCAUGCAGCUAAACACCGAAAGAAGAAACAUAGGUGGAAAUGAAGAUUACUUUAGAAUGACCCACGGUCUGUUUACUAACAAUAAUUAAGGCAGACAAUGGUGCCUUAUUUAUAAACUACACAGAAUGUCAACUGAGGACUUUUAACAUUUACUACUACUAAUUACACCAUAUUAUAUUCAAAAAGACCUACUAUCAAGAUAGAAUUUCACCAAGAAUGCGCCUGCAUAAUCACAUUAAGGUUUUUAGCCACCGGUGAUUCUUACAGGUCUCUAAUCUACUUAUUUGAAGUAUCAUCUUCUACAAUUUCCUUCAUUGUAUUAGAAGUAUGUGAGGCUAUUUUAAAAGUAUUGGAAGAUCAGAUUAAGGUAAUAAUUAGAGACCUAGUCGUUUAGUGUCGAUGUAGGUUGUAAACAAAAUAUUUUUCCCCUUUAUCAGCAUAGGUAUUUAAUGAGUCAACUAAUACAAACUGAGAUAGUAUUUAUUCAGUAGUAAUUCAUGGUUUGUUAUUGAAGCCUUGACCCCAUCCGGGUAUAUGCCUCCUCCAUCUCAUUCCAAACCUGUGUAUCCUUUGCUUUCUUUAGCCAGUUUGUGCUUGCCACUUUGGCAAUGUCGUCCAUCCACCUCAUUUUUGGUCUGCCCCGAUGUCUGUUCCCUGGGGGGCCUCUCCAUUUUGUGAUUUUGAGAGUCCAUCUUUGGUUGUCCAUCACAACACAACUAAAAAAAUUCUAAGUCUUGAAUAAAUAUUCUUUAUUAUAUUAUUAUUAUUAAUUCAUGGUUUGCAUUUGCCUUUAAAAGUUACAUCAAGGUAUUCCACCGAAACAGAUUGACUUUCAUCAUCCAUAUUUCUAUUGGCUCAUGUUGAGUAGCUAGUGCUAAUAAUGAUUGCUCAGGAUUGUACGUUGAUUGUCAUAUGCAGACUGAAAAUUAGUAUUUAAAUCAAUAUCUGGUGUCAAUGAUAUUGAUGCCUCAUGUGUAACCUGUUGAUUGUCGUUUACUCCCAAGGCUGCUUUAUAUAAUACAUUACUGGUACUGUAUUUAAAGACCCUUUUUUUUUCUAUUUUCUUGUUUUAUCUCCAUUUACACCAUAUUGAGUCGUUAAUAUGCUAUGCUAGGUGGCGAUAUUUGUUAAUGUGCAGGCAGUGCUAGGCUGCAGAUCUGCUUCAAUGUUUUGGGAUAAAUUUCCUUGUAAACUCGUGAAUGAUGUAGCUGUAUCAAUCAAUAUUGGUGUCAUUCUGAAACAAAAUUGGUAAUUUUUUAAGGUACCAAAGGAUAAGAAGAAUGUUAAACAGUAGCCCAAAAUUUCGAAAUAAAGUGGAAUUUUCCUCACUAUAGGAACGACGUCACCGCUACUUGACCAAAAUACUCUGGACAGGCAACAUGUUAAUUAAUUAAAAACAUUGAAAAAUAAAUUCACUUAAAGUAGUAGUUAUAUUACUCCUGACUUAUUACAUUUGGUACAAAUAAACUUGUCUGUGUUGUCUGCAGUUCAGCUAACACAUUCUUCUUGAAUGUAUAAAUAUGAAUUGCACAUAAAUACAGGCCUCAUGUCAGUCACUCUGUCCUCACUGCAAGCAAAAAAAAAAUUUUUAGCACGAGCCUCACUUGGUUUUCCUUUACCACUUGGACGCUUCGGAAGAAUCUUUUUAAAUGUCCCAAUUUUAUACCGCCUCGUCCCUUGGUAGGUUCUGCAGAUUUCUGGGGAUUGGAAUGUCUUUGAAUGGCCCCGCCUUAUUUUCCUUGUAAGUGAAAUUAGAUUUGGUCAAUUCUUGAGAAAGGCUAUUUAUAGCUUUGACUCUAGUUGUAGUUUUUGGUCUUGAUAUUGUUUCUGGAGUCUUUAACAUAUCAUUGAAAUAUUUAUUGGAUUCAUUACGCAGUACAGAGACAGUUUGAAGCGGUUGUGAUCCUAAAAUUUCUUUGUUGUAUUUGUUUUGUUGUAACUGAGCUACUAGUAUGUCAUCUUCGCUAUCAAUGCCGCCAGAACUGUUUCAAUCAGAAGCAUUUAAGUAAAUGAGCUGAGACUGUUUAGUGGAAAUAGAAAUAACAUCUUUUUAACAUUUUAAAUCAAUGGAUUGAUUAUUUUCGGGAUGCAUUUCAAUUUUCAACUUCAAACGCCGGUUUUCGGAAACUAUUUUUUAUUUCCUUAACCAAUGAAAGACAAAUUAAUUUAUCUUCUUCUUUCUUUUCUGUUACAUAUUUAUUAAGAGCAUCUAUUCUUCUUUCUAAAAUAUUAGCAAAAUGCUUAUCGGCUGGGUUCAGUUUGUAUAUCUUUCUGGGUAAACACUGUACGACCAAUCCAUGAAGCAGAUAAUGUUCGAACUAAAUUAACGAAUUACUUUGUAGGUGAAGGUAAGGUAGAUUGGCAAGAAAAAUAUAUAUUACUCUUAAAUAAAAUUAUACAUACGAUUGUAACUUACCCUAGACGAUAUGGCCUUAUUGUUAAAGCUAUCAGUUACAUCAGCGCUAUCAAUAACACCGAACAUCGAAUUAUCAGCUCAAACACGGUCCAAAAUAAACAGAACCAAACACAAACGAGCAUAACGCGCUUCGUGAUCAUUUGUUUUCUGUGUUUCUCCAAAAGAAAACCUCGUUAUAACGUUAAGAUACGUGCGUUUAUUAUUUAAAUAAAUCUGAGCAGGAAUCUUGUCUGGGAGGUGACGGCGUCCACGUUGGUGGUGGUGGUGGGGUCGGAGGCCAUGAUUGUAAAGGCAUUGGUGUUGAGGGUGUAGCAGUGGUAUAUCCAGAAUAAGUGGGUGCAGAAUAUUCGUAUUGAUAUUGUUUGCGAUUUGUUUGUAGUGGCAAUGAUUGAUUCUGUGCUUUUUAAAUGAAAUUGAGCAAUAAUUAAAUUUUUGUUGAUGCCCUCGGGUACUUUUUUUAGCUUUGUGUAGCAUCUAUCGCCAGACCCGAUACACAUUGGUCUCGAAGAUUAUCUUCUAACGUCGAGCACGAUAAACACUUGCCAAAAUUAGAUGUUGAUGUAUUGUUGUUUAAGGGCCUGCAAAUUAGGCCUGUGGCGGUCGGUCAUUUUUCGCGACCCGGGUCAAUCCUGUACGAUGACACUCGUGACCGAGUCAAAAGAUUCGAUCGGUCACCGUUCAUUGAUGAUUGAAUACAAAACAAAAGGCGGCGACCGGCGUAGAUCACAUUAUAUGACCAUCGUACAACAAUAUCGUAUUUUACAGGAAUUAAGCUGGGUACAGAUUUCUGGUUAAAAAAACUUAAAAAAUACGUUUAAUUAAAAUAC